AAGUGAUGUAAGCAUGAGGGAGGCUGGAACUCGCUUGAAAAGGCAUGCAAGGCAAGAUGCAUGUGGACAGAUCACACGCUUCCAGGCAUUAUCUUGCAUGUAGAAAAGUGGGAUGCUCAUUUUGUGCCUCCCUCAGAGGAGAUAUUAUCUGAGCACAUGCAAGUAUCUGGAUAUCACCUUCUGGGCCACAGUGAGGAACUCAAGGAGUUGAAAUGGUUUCUGGAGAAAAAGAAAUGCUCAGAGAGAGAGUGGCUGAGAGCAGACCUUGGGGAGAGGCUGGGCUGCCACAAUUAGACUCAUGCCUCAGGGACCCCAACACUCACUUCAUGAUGCUUUAUAAGUCUCCAGGAUUCCCGUGAAAUACCACCCUCACUGGACCCAUGCACAAACCCACUAACUUCUGGAAACUCCAAAGGAGAGGAGAAGACAAUGUAUAGUGAAAUUUUUCUUUGUCUGGCAAGCCCUAUUUUGAUUUGUGACAUUUUCU
Molecule: long non-coding RNA, 487 nt
Filed under: Pan troglodytes (chimpanzee)
Lineage: Eukaryota; Metazoa; Chordata; Mammalia; Primates; Hominidae
Description: long non-coding RNA NONPTRT017835
Source: RNAcentral